GAUGAACGCUGACGGCGUGCCUAAUACAUGCAAGUCGAGCGAACGGACGAGAAUCUUGCUUCUCUGAUGUUAGCGGCGGACGGGUGAGUAACACUUGGAUAACCUACCUAUAAGACUGGGAUAACUUCGGGAAACCGGAGCUAAUACCGGAUAAUAUUUUGAACCGCAUUGUUCAAAAGUGAAAGACGGUCUUGCUGUCACUUAUAGAUGGAUCCGCGCUGCAUUAGCUAGUUGGUAAGGUAACGGCUUACCAAGGCAACGAUGCAUAGCCGACCUGAGAGGGUGAUCGGCCACACGGGAACUGAGACACGGUCCAGACUCCUACGGGAGGCAGCAGUAGGGAAUCUUCCGCAAUGGGCGAAAGCCUGACGGAGCAACGCCGCGUGAGUGAUGAAGGUCUUCGGAUCGUAAAACUCUGUUAUUAGGGAAGAACAUAUGUGUAAGUAACUGUGCACAUAUUGACGGUACCUAAUCAGAAAGCCACGGCUAACUACGUG
Molecule: ribosomal RNA, 497 nt
Filed under: uncultured bacterium
Lineage: Bacteria
Description: partial 16S ribosomal RNA
Rfam family: Bacterial small subunit ribosomal RNA
Source: RNAcentral